AUUAAAGAACAUUUACCUAAUGCAAAUCUGUCUAACAUCUUUGUGAUGAACACACAGGCUGCUAAUGAUUCAUCAAGCGUGUAUGAUCACCCAACAUCAUCUCAUGCGAGUCACAACAGUUCAUGAAGACCUCACUUGUAU
Molecule: long non-coding RNA, 141 nt
Organism: Erigeron canadensis
Lineage: Eukaryota; Viridiplantae; Streptophyta; Magnoliopsida; Asterales; Asteraceae
Exons: 3
Source: RefSeq, a predicted model, not a curated record